Molecule: microRNA, 21 nt
Filed under: Zea mays
Lineage: Eukaryota; Viridiplantae; Streptophyta; Magnoliopsida; Poales; Poaceae
Description: microRNA miR-3234
Source: RNAcentral
UCUAAAUUAUAGGACGUCUUG